GAUGAACGCUAGCUACAGGCUUAACACAUGCAAGUCGAGGGGAAACGACAUCGAAAGCUUGCUUUUGAUGGGCGUCGACCGGCGCACGGGUGAGUAACGCGUAUCCAACCUGCCCACCACUUGGGGAUAACCUUGCGAAAGUAAGACUAAUACCCAAUGAUAUCCCACGAAGGCAUCCGAAUGGGAUUAAAGAUUUAUCGGUGAUGGAUGGGGAUGCGUCUGAUUAGCUUGUUGGCGGGGUAACGGCCCACCAAGGCUACGAUCAGUAGGGGUUCUGAGAGGAAGGUCCCCCACAUUGGAACUGAGACACGGUCCAAACUCCUACGGGAGGCAGCAGUGAGGAAUAUUGGUCAAUGGACGGAAGUCUGAACCAGCCAAGUAGCGUGCAGGAUGACGGCCCUAUGGGUUGUAAACUGCUUUUAUGUGGGAAUAAAGUCAGGGACGUGUCCCUGUUUGCAUGUACCACAGGAAUAAGGACCGGCUAAUUCCGUG
Molecule: ribosomal RNA, 492 nt
Filed under: uncultured bacterium
Lineage: Bacteria
Description: bacterial SSU rRNA
Rfam family: Bacterial small subunit ribosomal RNA
Source: RNAcentral